This 891-nucleotide ribosomal RNA is filed under the name uncultured Acidobacteriota bacterium. RNAcentral describes it as "bacterial SSU rRNA". It matches the Rfam family "Bacterial small subunit ribosomal RNA", at positions 28 to 897 of the family's 1533-position model. The record is from RNAcentral. Lineage: Bacteria; Pseudomonadati; Acidobacteriota.
AAUCAACGCUGGCGGCAUGCCUAACACAUGCAAGUCGAACGCGAAAGUGGCUUCGGCCGCGAGUAGAGUGGCAAACGGGUGAGUAACGCGUGGGUGACCUGCCUUCGAGUGGGGGAUAACGUUUCGAAAGGAACGCUAAUACCGCAUAACAUCCUGCCCUUGAACGGGUGGAGAUCAAAGCCGGGGAUCGCAAGACCUGGCGCUUGGAGAGGGGCCCGCGUCCGAUUAGCUAGUUGGUGGGGUAACGGCUCACCAAGGCGACGAUCGGUAGCCGGCCUGAGAGGGCGGACGGCCACACUGGGACUGAGACACGGCCCAGACUCCUACGGGAGGCAGCAGUGGGGAAUUGUUCGCAAUGGGCGCAAGCCUGACGACGCAAUGCCGCGUGGAGGACGAAGAUCUUCGGGUCGUAAACUCCUGUCGAGCGGGAAGAACGGCCUGGGGCCUAAUACGCCCUGGGAGUGACGGUACCGCUAAAGGAAGCCCCGGCUAACUCCGUGCCAGCAGCCGCGGUAAUACGGGGGGGGCAAGCGUUGUUCGGAAUUACUGGGCGUAAAGGGCGCGUAGGCGGCCUUCUAAGUCGGACGUGAAAUCCCUCGGCUUAACCGGGGAACUGCGUCCGAUACUGGAGGGCUUGGAUCCGGGAGAGGGAUGCGGAAUUCCAGGUGUAGCGGUGAAAUGCGUAGAUAUCUGGAGGAACACCGGUGGCGAAGGCGGCAUCCUGGACCGGCAUCGACGCUGAGGCGCGAAAGCCAGGGGAGCAAACGGGAUUAGAUACCCCGGUAGUCCUGGCCCUAAACGAUGAAUGCUUGGUGUGGCGGGUAUCGAUCCCUGCCGUGCCGGAGCUAACGCGUUAAGCAUUCCGCCUGGGGAGUACGGUCGCAAGGCUGA